UUUAGUGAAUAUGCGAGUGCGCUUGAUUGUGUGUGUAUGUGUAUAUAUAUAUAUACACACACACACACACACACACAAUCAAGCGCACUCGCAUAUA
This 97-nucleotide microRNA precursor is filed under the name Pelobates cultripes (western spadefoot toad). The record is from RNAcentral. Lineage: Eukaryota; Metazoa; Chordata; Amphibia; Anura; Pelobatidae.